UGUGACCUCAAAUCAGGUAGGACUACCCGCUGAACUUAAGCAUAUCAAUAAGCGGAGGAAAAGAAACUAACAAGGAUUCCCCUAGUAACUGCGAGUGAAGCGGGAAAAGCUCAAAUUUAAAAUCUGGCAGUCUUCUGGCUGUCCGAGUUGUAAUCUAGAGAAGUGCUAUCCGCGCUGGACCGUGU
RNAcentral lists this ribosomal RNA (185 nucleotides) under Cortinarius fuscescens. Its description in RNAcentral is "partial 28S ribosomal RNA". It matches the Rfam family "Eukaryotic large subunit ribosomal RNA", at positions 1 to 180 of the family's 3401-position model. The record is from RNAcentral. Lineage: Eukaryota; Fungi; Basidiomycota; Agaricomycetes; Agaricales; Cortinariaceae.